ACUAAGCAAACUUGAUGCCCAUUCUCUAUUGUAAUCUUGUUCCUUGUACACAGUAUUGGUUCCUCCUCUUCAUCCUCUAAAUUGAGGUUUUCAAGAUCUGCCUCUAUUAAAAUACCUUAGUAUCAAAGAUCUUUUGAGGAAAUUGAUAACUCCCAAAAUCCUAGGUUGUGUCGCCGUUAAUUCCCCCAAUACCCAAGUAGAAAAAUCACGAGGGAAGAGUUUAAUCGUUCUUUACUCAAUUCUUGUUAUCAAACCCCAAUCGAUACUGUUGUGAAGGUUCAAAAAAAGGAGAUCUAAGAAAGAAAAUCCACAAUAACGAAAGGAUAAAAACAACGUGC
RNAcentral lists this long non-coding RNA (338 nucleotides) under Gossypium raimondii (Peruvian cotton). Its description in RNAcentral is "long non-coding RNA (GRAI_LNC004564)". The record is from RNAcentral. Lineage: Eukaryota; Viridiplantae; Streptophyta; Magnoliopsida; Malvales; Malvaceae.